RNAcentral lists this ribosomal RNA (493 nucleotides) under uncultured bacterium. RNAcentral describes it as "partial 16S ribosomal RNA". It matches the Rfam family "Bacterial small subunit ribosomal RNA", at positions 28 to 507 of the family's 1533-position model. The record is from RNAcentral.
GACGAACGCUGGCGGCGUGCUUAACACAUGCAAGUCGAACGGUGAAGGGACCGGUUUUUGCUGGUUCUGGAUGAGUGGCGAACGGGUGAGUAACACGUUAGUAACCUGCCCCCUUCUUCUGGAUAACCGCAUGAAAGUGUGUCUAAUACGGGAUAUUCUGCGCCUGCUGCAUGGUGGGUGUGGGAAAGCUAUUUUUUCGGUGGGGGGUGGGCUCGCGGCCUAUCAGCUUGUUGGUGGGGUGAUGGCCUACCAAGGCGGUGACGGGUAGCCGGCCUGAGAGGGUGGACGGUCACACUGGGACUGAGACACGGCCCAGACUCCUACGGGAGGCAGCAGUGGGGAAUAUUGCACAAUGGGCGCAAGCCUGAUGCAGCGACGCCGCGUGAGGGAUGGAGGCCUUCGGGUUGUAAACCUCUUUCGCCAGUGAAGCAGGCCUGUCCCUUUUGUGGGUGGGUUGACGGUAGCUGGAUAAGAAGCGCCGGCUAACUACGUG